GGCGGCCGCGACGGCACCAUCAUAAGCACGGAGCGGCUCAACCGGGUGGUAAGCGUCGAGGUCGCCAAGGGGCUUAUGACGGUGGAAAGCGGCAUGGUGCUCCGCGACCUGAUCCAGGCCGCCGCCGAGGCAGGGCUCGCGCUGCCGCACUCGCCCUACUGGUCAGGGCUCACCAUCGGAGGCCUGCUGGCCACGGGCGCGCACGGCAGUUCGCUCAAGGGUAAGGGCGGCGCCGUGCACGAGUAUGUGGUUGGGAUGAGGAUCGUCACGCCGGCGCCCAAGAGCCAAGGGUUCGCGGUGGUACGGGAGCUCUGCGCCGACCAUCCCGACCUCGACGCGGCCAAGGUUUCCCUCGGCGUCCUGGGCGUCGUUUCCCAGGUUACACUGGCCUUGGAGCCGAUGUUCAAGCGGUCGGUGACGUUCGUGACACGCGAUGACUCUGACAUGGCAGAGCAGGCCGUUGUGUGGGGUGGCCUCCACGAAUUUGGCGAUAUGGUGUGGCUGCCACAGCAGCGCAAUGUGAUUUACCGCAAGGACGAUCGUGUGGCCAUCACGUCAGUGGGUAACGGCCUCAAUGACUACCUAGCCUUCCGCUCCACUGCGACGGCCGACCUCAUCAGCGGCAGAGUCAUGCAGGAGCUUCUCGAGAAGAAGAACAACACCGUCGCUCGGUGCAAGGAGGCACCCACGUCAGUAUCGUUGUUUGAGAAGGCAGCAUAUGGCACAAACAACGGCAGCUUAUUCAUGGGGUACCCAGUGGUAGGAUUCCAGCACCGCAUCCAAGCGUCCGGUUCGUGUCUCGACAGCCCAGAAGAUGCACUCCUCACCACGUGUCCGUGGGACCCCCGCAUCCGGGGAAUCUUCUUCUACAAUAAUGCCUACAUCAUCACGCUCUCCAGGGUAUCAGCAUUCAUCGCCGACAUGAAGCAGCUCCGUAACAGCAACCCGAAGGCCUUCUGCGGAAUCGACGCCGGUUUGGGUAUUCUCCUCCGCUAUAUCAAGGCAUCUUCUGCCUACCUCGGCAAGCCGGAGGACUCGAUCGACUUUGAUAUUACCUACUACCGGAGUUACACCAAGGGUGAGCCCAAUCCAUACUCUGGUGUGCUCGACGAGCUCCAACAGAUGGCGCUACGCAAAUAUGGCGCCAUCCCUCACUGGGGCAAAAACCGCAACUUUGCCUUUGAAGGUGUCAUUGCCAAGUACCCCGAGGCCGACAAGUUCCUAGAGGUGAAGGGAAGGUACGAUCCUGAUGGGAUCUUCUCCAGCGAAUGGAGUGACCAGGUGCUCGGCAUUAAUGGGAGCUCGAUAAUUGUCGAGAAGGGUUGCGCCAUUGAGGGGCUUUGCAUCUGUUCAGAAGACUCGCAUUGUGCACCGGAGCAGGGUUACUACUGCCGCCCUGGGAAGGUGUACACGGAGGCGAGGGUCUGCUCGUUCCAACACAUCUGA
This 1446-nucleotide ribosomal RNA is filed under the name Triticum aestivum (bread wheat). Its description in RNAcentral is "partial small subunit ribosomal RNA". The record is from RNAcentral. Lineage: Eukaryota; Viridiplantae; Streptophyta; Magnoliopsida; Poales; Poaceae.